RNAcentral lists this ribosomal RNA (253 nucleotides) under uncultured bacterium. Its description in RNAcentral is "partial 16S ribosomal RNA". It matches the Rfam family "Bacterial small subunit ribosomal RNA", at positions 524 to 776 of the family's 1533-position model. The record is from RNAcentral.
UACGGAGGGUGCAAGCGUUAUCCGGAUUCACUGGGUUUAAAGGGUGCGUAGGCGGGUAAUUAAGUCAGUGGUGAAAUCUUCAAGCUUAACUUGGAAACUGCCAUUGAUACUAAUUAUCUUGAAUGUUCUGGAGGUCAGCGGAAUAUGUCAUGUAGCGGUGAAAUGCUUAGAUAUGACAUAGAACACCUAUUGCGAAGGCAGCUGACUACGGAAAUAUUGACGCUGAGGCACGAAAGCGUGGGGAUCAAACAGG